Molecule: long non-coding RNA, 550 nt
Organism: Bos taurus (domestic cattle)
Lineage: Eukaryota; Metazoa; Chordata; Mammalia; Artiodactyla; Bovidae
Source: Ensembl
GGCGCACAUGUGGUUACUCAGCGCGAGCAGAGUGGUGGCUGGUGAGGAUGAGGAGGUGGCACAGCCGGAGUGCAGGGCUGGGAGCCUGCGGGCAGCCCUCAGGACACCUCACCAAGAGCUGUGUGCACCUGCAGCCGCACGAUGUCAGGCCAGACACUCGCGUCAGGACGGAUGGAGCCCUCAGGCUGGAGGGGCUCGGCGCUCUCAGGCCUCCCAGCGGGGCAGGGCACAGAUGCUUCAAGAAUGCUCGUUAUCCUGUUCUCAAAGCGUGGUAAAUGUUGAUACACACAAGCACAGCUCACAGUGUCCUCAACACCUUUCCAGUGUAUCCAGGACCCUGAGAGACAGAGUUAAGAACCGCUGCCACCCCCACUUCUGCCCGGUUAACCAGGCUCCUUGGAGAAGCAGCCAGUUCCAGAUGUGGAGACAAGUGCGAGACUGCUGGUGACUAUAUAACAUCCAGCUGAAGACUAGCAGGGGGGUACUCUUUCUGCCCCCUUCUGAUGCCUAUGUCAGAAGCUUUCUCUAUCUCCUUUAUACUUUAAUAAAA